Molecule: unclassified non-coding RNA, 305 nt
Filed under: plant metagenome
Description: partial contains 5.8S ribosomal RNA, internal transcribed spacer 2, and large subunit ribosomal RNA
Rfam family: 5.8S ribosomal RNA (bases 1-105)
Source: RNAcentral
GAAAUGCGAUAAGUAAUGUGAAUUGCAGAAUUCAGUGAAUCAUCGAAUCUUUGAACGCACAUUGCGCCCGCCAGUAUUCUGGCGGGCAUGCCUGUUCGAGCGUCAUUUCAACCAUCAAGCCCCCGGCUUGUGUUGGGGACCUGCGGCUGCCCGCAGGCCCUGAAAAACAGUGGCGGGCUCGCUGUCACACCGAGCGUAGUAGCAUACAUUCUCGCUCAGGGCGUGCUGCGGGUUCCGGCCGUUAAACGACCUUCCUAACCCAAGGUUGACCUCGGAUCAGGUAGGAAGACCCGCUGAACUUAAGC